This 372-nucleotide ribosomal RNA is filed under the name uncultured organism. RNAcentral describes it as "partial 16S ribosomal RNA". It matches the Rfam family "Bacterial small subunit ribosomal RNA", at positions 527 to 896 of the family's 1533-position model. The record is from RNAcentral.
GUGGGUGGCAAGCGUUGUCCGGAAUUAUUGGGCGUAAAGCGCGCGCAGGCGGUUCUUUAAGUCUGAUGUGAAAGCCCACGGCUCAACCGUGGAGGGUCAUUGGAAACUGGAGAACUUGAGUACAGAAGAGGAAAGCGGAAUUCCACGUGUAGCGGUGAAAUGCGUAGAGAUGUGGAGGAACACCAGUGGCGAAGGCGGCUUUCUGGUCUGUAACUGACGCUGAGGCGCGAAAGCGUGGGGAGCAAACAGGAUUAGAUACCCUGGUAGUCCACGCCGUAAACGAUGAGUGCUAAGUGUUAGGGGGUUUCCGCCCCCCUUAGUGCUGCAGCUAACGCAUUAAGCACUCCGCCUGGGAGUACGGCCGCAAGGCUG